UACGAAGGGGGCUAGCGUUGCUCGGAAUCACUGGGCGUAAAGCGCACGUAGGCGGCUUUUUAAGUCAGGGGUGAAAUCCUGGAGCUCAACUCCAGAACUGCCUUCGAUACUGGGAGUCUCGAGUCCGAGAGAGGUGAGUGGAACUGCGAGUGUAGAGGUGAAAUUCGUAGAUAUUCGCAAGAACACCAGUGGCGAAGGCGGCUCACUGGCUCGGUACUGACGCUGAGGUGCGAAAGCGUGGGGAGCAAACAGG
RNAcentral lists this ribosomal RNA (253 nucleotides) under uncultured bacterium. RNAcentral describes it as "partial 16S ribosomal RNA". It matches the Rfam family "Bacterial small subunit ribosomal RNA", at positions 524 to 776 of the family's 1533-position model. The record is from RNAcentral.